RNAcentral lists this ribosomal RNA (501 nucleotides) under uncultured bacterium. RNAcentral describes it as "partial 16S ribosomal RNA". It matches the Rfam family "Bacterial small subunit ribosomal RNA", at positions 30 to 523 of the family's 1533-position model. The record is from RNAcentral.
AUUGAACGCUGGCGGCAGGCUUAACACAUGCAAGUCGAGCGGAGCGAGGGUGCUUGCACCUUAGCUUAGCGGCGGACGGGUGAGUAAUGCUUAGGAAUCUGCCUAUUAGUGGGGGACAACAUUCCGAAAGGAAUGCUAAUACCGCAUACGCCCUACGGGGGAAAGCAGGGGAUCUUCGGACCUUGCGCUAAUAGAUGAGCUUAAGUCGGAUUAGCUAGUCGGUGGGGUAAAGGCCUACCAAGGCGACGAUCUGUAGCGGGUCUGAGAGGAUGACCCGCCACACUGGGACUGAGACACGGCCCAGACUCCUACGGGAGGCAGCAGUGGGGAAUAUUGGACAAUGGGCGGAAGCCUGAUCCAGCCAUGCCGCGUGUGUGAAGAAGGCCUUUUGGUUGUAAAGCACUUUAAGCGAGGAGGAGGCUACUUAGAUUAAUACUCUGGGAUAGUGGACGUUACUCGCAGAAUAAGCACCGGCUAACUCUGUGCCAGCAGCCGCCGUAA